This is a long non-coding RNA of Cynocephalus volans (Philippine flying lemur), 207 nucleotides long. RefSeq lists it as uncharacterized. The transcript is spliced from 3 exons. The record is from RefSeq and is a predicted model, not a curated record. Lineage: Eukaryota; Metazoa; Chordata; Mammalia; Dermoptera; Cynocephalidae.
CUUUGGACUGGCUGCUAGAAAGCUCUUAGCUAAAUUUGCAUUGCAUUUCUAGAAGAUGGAGAGGAUCUUAUGGAUUCAGGACUGAAUUCAUGGUAGCCAUCUUGAUUCCUGUACCUUUACGGUGUGUGUCCUAAAGAAACCCUCAAGCAAAUGCAUCAAGAUACAGAAACCAAUCCAAUCAGAAUGGCACUAUUUAUAAUACAGAAG